This 381-nucleotide unclassified non-coding RNA is filed under the name uncultured Sphingomonadaceae bacterium. RNAcentral's name for it is "contains 16S-23S intergenic spacer region". Lineage: Bacteria; Pseudomonadati; Pseudomonadota; Alphaproteobacteria; Sphingomonadales; Sphingomonadaceae. The record is from RNAcentral.
UCCGGCUUAUCACCGGCGGUUUCUUUAGAGUGCCCAACUAAAUGAUGGCAACUAAAGACGAGGGUUGCGCUCGUUGCGGGACUUAACCCAACAUCUCACGACACGAGCUGACGACGGCCAUGCAGCACCUGUCACUCGUCCAGCCGAACUGAAGGAAUCCAUCUCUGGAAUCCGCGACGAGGAUGUCAAACGCUGGUAAGGUUCUGCGCGUUGCUUCGAAUUAAACCACAUGCUCCACCGCUUGUGCAGGCCCCCGUCAAUUUCUUUGAGUUUUAGCCUUGCGGCCGUACUCCCCAGGCGGGAUGCUUAAUGCGUUAGCUGCGACGCUGGAGGGGUCAAUACCCCCAACAACCAGUCGACAUCGUUUAGGGCGUGGACUAC